GGGGGGGUAAGCGUUGUUCGGAAUUACUGGGCGUAAAGGGCUCGUAGGCGGCCAACUAAGUCAUACGUGAAAUCCCUCAGCUUAACUGGGGAACUGCGUGUGAUACUGGAUGGCUUGGAUUUGGGAGAGGGAUGCGGAAUUCCAGGUGUAGCGGUGAAAUGCGUAGAUAUCUGGAGGAACACCGGUGGCGAAGGCGGCAUCCUGGACCAAUAUUGACGCUGAGGAGCGAAAGCCAGGGGAGCAAACGGGAUUAGAUACCCCGGUAGUCCUGGCCCUAAACGAUGAAUGCUUGGUGUAGCGGGUAUCGAUUCCUGCUGUGCCGAAGCUAACGCAUUAAGCAUUCCGCCUGGGGAGUACGGUCGCAAGGCUG
Molecule: ribosomal RNA, 370 nt
Filed under: uncultured organism
Description: bacterial SSU rRNA
Rfam family: Bacterial small subunit ribosomal RNA
Source: RNAcentral